This 379-nucleotide ribosomal RNA is filed under the name uncultured eukaryote. Its description in RNAcentral is "partial 18S ribosomal RNA". It matches the Rfam family "Eukaryotic small subunit ribosomal RNA", at positions 592 to 976 of the family's 1831-position model. The record is from RNAcentral.
CAAUAGCGUAUAUUUAAGUUGUUGCAGUUAAAAAGCUCGUAGUUGGAUUUCGGAUGGGACUUGCCGGUCCGUCGUUUCGAUGUGCACUGGCCAGUCCUAUCUUGUUGUCGGGGACUAGCUCCUGGGCUUCACUGUCCGGGACUAGGAGCUGACGAGGUUACUUUGAGUAAAUUAGAGUGUUCAAAGCAAGCCUACGCUCUGAAUACAUUAGCAUGGAAUAACACGAUAGGACUCUGGCUUAUCUUGUUGGUCUGUGAGACCAGAGUAAUGAUUAAGAGGGACAGUCGGGGGCAUUCGUAUUUCAUUGUCAGAGGUGAAAUUCUUGGAUUUAUGAAAGACGAACUUCUGCGAAAGCAUUUGUCAAGGAUGUUUUCAUUGA